Molecule: ribosomal RNA, 2227 nt
Filed under: Bacillus cereus
Lineage: Bacteria; Bacillati; Bacillota; Bacilli; Caryophanales; Bacillaceae
Description: partial 23S ribosomal RNA
Rfam family: Bacterial large subunit ribosomal RNA
Source: RNAcentral
AAGGUUAAGCUGAAGAGGCGGAGCCGCAGCGAAAGCGAGUCUGAAUAGGGCGUUUAGUACGUGGUCGUAGACCCGAAACCAGGUGAUCUACCCAUGUCCAGGGUGAAGUUCAGGUAACACUGAAUGGAGGCCCGAACCCACGCACGUUGAAAAGUGCGGGGAUGAGGUGUGGGUAGCGGAGAAAUUCCAAUCGAACCUGGAGAUAGCUGGUUCUCCCCGAAAUAGCUUUAGGGCUAGCCUUAAGUGUAAGAGUCUUGGAGGUAGAGCACUGAUUGAACUAGGGGUCCUCAUCGGAUUACCGAAUUCAGUCAAACUCCGAAUGCCAAUGACUUAUCCUUAGGAGUCAGACUGCGAGUGAUAAGAUCCGUAGUCAAGAGGGAAACAGCCCAGAUCGCCAGCUAAGGUCCCAAAGUGUGUAUUAAGUGGAAAAGGAUGUGGAGUUGCUUAGACAACUAGGAUGUUGGCUUAGAAGCAGCCACCAUUUAAAGAGUGCGUAAUAGCUCACUAGUCGAGUGACUCUGCGCCGAAAAUGUACCGGGGCUAAAUACACCACCGAAGCUGCGAAUUGAUACCAAUGGUAUCAGUGGUAGGGGAGCGUUCUAAGUGCAGUGAAGUCAGACCGGAAGGACUGGUGGAGCGCUUAGAAGUGAGAAUGCCGGUAUGAGUAGCGAAAGACGGGUGAGAAUCCCGUCCACCGAAUGCCUAAGGUUUCCUGAGGAAGGCUCGUCCGCUCAGGGUUAGUCAGGACCUAAGCCGAGGCCGACAGGCGUAGGCGAUGGACAACAGGUUGAUAUUCCUGUACCACCUCUUUAUCGUUUGAGCAAUGGAGGGACGCAGAAGGAUAGAAGAAGCGUGCGAUUGGUUGUGCACGUCCAAGCAGUUAGGCUGAUAAGUAGGCAAAUCCGCUUAUCGUGAAGGCUGAGCUGUGAUGGGGAAGCUCCUUAUGGAGCGAAGUCUUUGAUUCCCCGCUGCCAAGAAAAGCUUCUAGCGAGAUAAAAGGUGCCUGUACCGCAAACCGACACAGGUAGGCGAGGAGAGAAUCCUAAGGUGUGCGAGAGAACUCUGGUUAAGGAACUCGGCAAAAUGACCCCGUAACUUCGGGAGAAGGGGUGCUUUCUUAACGGAAAGCCGCAGUGAAUAGGCCCAAGCGACUGUUUAGCAAAAACACAGCUCUCUGCGAAGCCGUAAGGCGAAGUAUAGGGGGUGACACCUGCCCGGUGCUGGAAGGUUAAGGAGAGGGGUUAGCGUAAGCGAAGCUCUGAACUGAAGCCCCAGUAAACGGCGGCCGUAACUAUAACGGUCCUAAGGUAGCGAAAUUCCUUGUCGGGUAAGUUCCGACCCGCACGAAAGGUGUAACGAUUUGGGCACUGUCUCAACCAGAGACUCGGUGAAAUUAUAGUACCUGUGAAGAUGCAGGUUACCCGCGACAGGACGGAAAGACCCCGUGGAGCUUUACUGUAGCCUGAUAUUGAAUUUUGGUACAGUUUGUACAGGAUAGGCGGGAGCCAUUGAAACCGGAGCGCUAGCUUCGGUGGAGGCGCUGGUGGGAUACCGCCCUGACUGUAUUGAAAUUCUAACCUACGGGUCUUAUCGACCCGGGAGACAGUGUCAGGUGGGCAGUUUGACUGGGGCGGUCGCCUCCUAAAGUGUAACGGAGGCGCCCAAAGGUUCCCUCAGAAUGGUUGGAAAUCAUUCGUAGAGUGCAAAGGCAUAAGGGAGCUUGACUGCGAGACCUACAAGUCGAGCAGGGACGAAAGUCGGGCUUAGUGAUCCGGUGGUUCCGCAUGGAAGGGCCAUCGCUCAACGGAUAAAAGCUACCCCGGGGAUAACAGGCUUAUCUCCCCCAAGAGUCCACAUCGACGGGGAGGUUUGGCACCUCGAUGUCGGCUCAUCGCAUCCUGGGGCUGUAGUCGGUCCCAAGGGUUGGGCUGUUCGCCCAUUAAAGCGGUACGCGAGCUGGGUUCAGAACGUCGUGAGACAGUUCGGUCCCUAUCCGUCGUGGGCGUAGGAAAUUUGAGAGGAGCUGUCCUUAGUACGAGAGGACCGGGAUGGACGCACCGCUGGUGUACCAGUUGUUCUGCCAAGGGCAUAGCUGGGUAGCUAUGUGCGGAAGGGAUAAGUGCUGAAAGCAUCUAAGCAUGAAGCCCCCCUCAAGAUGAGAUUUCCCAUAGCGUAAGCUAGUAAGAUCCCUGAAAGAUGAUCAGGUUGAUAGGUUCGAGGUGGAAGC